CAUCCGCAUAGUUUAGGGGUUAAGGUUAAGCAAAUGUAACCAGAAACUAAUAAUUCGGCCACACUAGCUACCAGUAAUCCAAUGCUAGCCAAUAUACCUGCCCAGGUACCCUCUACUUCUGCUGCGUUUCCAUCUUCAUUCUUUAACAAUUGAGAUCAUUGACCGGAAGAGACGUGUUUCAUCGCGUUCAAGAUUCAGAGGCAGGGCAAUUUGUGAAAUUCACGAUGCCCUGACCGCGUUUUAGCCUUGGCAUUGGAAACUUUCUCUGACGGUCAAAUGGUUCCAACGGCCCUGUUCUGGUUGGUCUGAGACGCCAAAACUCGUCGAUCUCAUCGGUGAACGAGAAAAUGAUCAAGAACGAAUUUGGGCCAUCAAUACCGCUUACUAAUUGAGUUUUAAAUAAGUACAAUAUUAUAAUUGUAUACAGCAAUGUUCAGAAAAAAAAAGAAAUACAUAGAAAAAAAGAGUAACUAGUGAAAGUGCAGACAAUACGUACCGGAACAGUGAGCAAGGUCACUUCCGGUGUUCUCUGGGAGUCCCUGACAAUAGCAGUCAAGGCCGUGAUUGCAGCCAUAUUCGAAAGGGCAAGGGCAAUGAGGCUCGCUGCAAGGUGAGCCGUGGAAA
This is a long non-coding RNA of Apis laboriosa (Himalayan honeybee), 624 nucleotides long. RefSeq lists it as uncharacterized. The record is from RefSeq and is a predicted model, not a curated record. NCBI's taxonomy places the organism in Eukaryota, Metazoa, Arthropoda, Insecta, Hymenoptera, Apidae. The transcript has 3 exons.